Etheostoma spectabile (orangethroat darter) is the source of this 85-nucleotide long non-coding RNA. RefSeq lists it as uncharacterized. NCBI's taxonomy places the organism in Eukaryota, Metazoa, Chordata, Actinopteri, Perciformes, Percidae. The transcript has 3 exons. The record is from RefSeq and is a predicted model, not a curated record.
UCGACACAGCUCUCACAGACCGUUCCCCAACUCGUCAAAUACCGACGCUUUGUCACAGCCCUCAACGUCAGAUACAUAAGCACAA